GAUGAACGCUGGCGGCGUGCCUAAUACAUGCAAGUCGAGCGAACGGACGAGAAGCUUGCUUCUCUGAUGUUAGCGGCGGACGGGUGAGUAACACGUGGAUAACCUACCUAUAAGACUGGGAUAACUUCGGGAAACCGGAGCUAAUACCGGAUGAUAUUUUGAAUCGCAUGGUUCAAAAGUGAAAGACGGUCUUGCUGUCACUUAUAGAUGUAUCCGCGCUGCAUUAGCUAGUUGGUAAGGUAACGGCUUACCAAGGCAACGAUGCAUAGCCGACCUGAGAGGGUGAUCGGCCACACUGGAACUGAGACACGGUCCAGACUCCUACGGGAGGCAGCAGUAGGGAAUCUUCCGCAAUGGGCGAAAGCCUGACGGAGCAACGCCGCGUGAGUGAUGAAGGUCUUCGGAUCGUAAAACUCUGUUAUUAGGGAAGAACAUAUGUGUAAGUAACUGUGCACAUCUUGACGGUACCUAAUCAGAAAGCCACGGCUAACUACGUG
This 497-nucleotide ribosomal RNA is filed under the name uncultured bacterium. Its description in RNAcentral is "partial 16S ribosomal RNA". It matches the Rfam family "Bacterial small subunit ribosomal RNA", at positions 28 to 507 of the family's 1533-position model. The record is from RNAcentral.